GACGAACGCUGGCGGCGUGCUUAACACAUGCAAGUCGAACGGUAAGGCUCCAGCUUGCUGGGGUACACGAGUGGCGAACGGGUGAGUAACACGUGGGUGACCUGCCCUGCACUUCGGGAUAAGCCUGGGAAACUGGGUCUAAUACCGGAUAGGACCGCACCGUGAGGGUGUGGUGGAAAGUUUUUUCGGUGUGGGAUGGGCCCGCGGCCUAUCAGCUUGUUGGUGGGGUAAUGGCCUACCAAGGCGGCGACGGGUAGCCGGCCUGAGAGGGUGGACGGCCACAUUGGGACUGAGACACGGCCCAGACUCCUACGGGAGGCAGCAGUGGGGAAUAUUGCACAAUGGGCGGAAGCCUGAUGCAGCGACGCCGCGCGGGGGAUGACGGCCUUCGGGUUGUAAACUCCUUUCACCAUCGACGAAGGGUUUCUGACGGUAGAUGGAGAAGAAGCACCGGCUAACUACGUG
Molecule: ribosomal RNA, 465 nt
Filed under: uncultured bacterium
Lineage: Bacteria
Description: partial 16S ribosomal RNA
Rfam family: Bacterial small subunit ribosomal RNA
Source: RNAcentral